GACUUUAAGUCUCCUGAAGGAACGUUGAAGACGACGACGUUGAUAGGCCGGGUGUGUAAGCGCAGCGAUGCGUUGAGCUAACCGGUACUAAUGAACCGUGAGGCUUAACCUUACAACGCCGAAG
RNAcentral lists this ribosomal RNA (124 nucleotides) under Klebsiella pneumoniae. RNAcentral's name for it is "partial 23S ribosomal RNA". It matches the Rfam family "Bacterial large subunit ribosomal RNA", at positions 2818 to 2925 of the family's 2925-position model. The record is from RNAcentral. Lineage: Bacteria; Pseudomonadati; Pseudomonadota; Gammaproteobacteria; Enterobacterales; Enterobacteriaceae.